Molecule: long non-coding RNA, 237 nt
Filed under: Phaseolus vulgaris (common bean)
Lineage: Eukaryota; Viridiplantae; Streptophyta; Magnoliopsida; Fabales; Fabaceae
Description: long non-coding RNA (PVUL_LNC002883)
Source: RNAcentral
AUCAGACAAAUAAAACUUGGCCGAAAAAUGUACUAAACCAGAAUAUGUGGCAUAAACAGUUUGACCAUUUGGGAGACUAAUUAAGACAGGUUUGAUUUUAGUCCAAGUAGUAAAAGCGCUCAGAUUGUGGCAAACAUGAUCAGUGGCACCAGAAUCAACAAGCCAAGAUUCUUUUAUAGCAGAUAAUGAAGAGAAAAACUUACCCGUUGAAGAUUGCUCGGUAUUGGUGAUUUUAUC